RNAcentral lists this long non-coding RNA (5084 nucleotides) under Sus scrofa (pig). Its description in RNAcentral is "lncRNA (ENSSSCG00030018649.1)". The record is from RNAcentral. Lineage: Eukaryota; Metazoa; Chordata; Mammalia; Artiodactyla; Suidae.
AACCCCGUAAAAAUGUUAUCAAAGUACUAUUUUGCCUCUUCAUUUAUCAUGAGAUUAUUCUCAAUUUAAUAAAUACAGAAAAUAGUAUAUUUUAAUUUGAUAUUCCUUUCAAAUACUAAUAAGUCUACUUUCCUUCUGCGUUUACAACCAAAAAGUACUCUUCAUUAUUUUCUAUGGCCUUUAAGAUCUGUUAACAAACACAGAAAGCUGGUCUCAAAUGACCCAGAAACCAGGGAUGAGACAUGGCAGGAGAAACAUGCUAAUGGCCCUGCUCAGACAGAACCCACACCCACACCCGUGCCCAGAGGCGGGUCAGGGCAAGGCUGGCGCAGCCAAGCCCAAUACUGUUUUUUUUCUGUAGACACACGUGGACUCCCUUGCUGUCACGUGGCGGAGGACCUGAGAAGGGCCCCUCAGGUCAAGGUCACAUCAUGGCCGGGAGGAGGUCUUGUACCACCCGUGCAGAAAGACUAAUACUCACCUGCACGUGACCACUCGAGCUUUUCUACAGCCAGCCUCCUCCAGGUUCUUAAAAGUGAAAACACUGCUUGGUGUCCUAUUUCUUUGGGGCUAAUGGAAAAUGCCUGCCUACCUAGACUUAUUUUCAUUUUCUCUCAAAAAAAAAAAAAAAAAAAUCCUUGCACUUGCAGUUUUCUCAAAUCAUCCUAGGCACAUAGAAAAUAUUUUCAAUUAAAAGUAUCUGAUGUUAGAGGUUAGGGGACUACAGUGGGUUUUUAAAGAACUUUAUUUUGGAUUAUUGUUUAUCUACCAUCCUGAUUAGAUCAUGGAAUAAUUUAGUAUGCUUUUACAUAUUUUACAAAUUUACCGUUUCCAAUAGUUUCUAGUUUUAUUUAAGCUGAACCACAUGCCAUGAUCAUUUCUAGGUCAACGAUGCUGAAUAUCAGCAAUUUCAUAUGGCUCCAUCUGGUUACACUGUGAUUAAGACAUAAUGUUCUUGGAGUUCCCGUCAUGGCUCAGUGGUUAACCAACCUGACCAGGAUCCAUGAGGAUGCAGGACUGAUCCCUGGCCUCGCUCAGUGGGUUAAGGAUUUGGAGUUGCCCUGAGCUGUGGUGUAGGCUGCAGACACGUAGGUUGCUAUGGCUGUGGCAUAGGCCAGCGGCUACAGCUACAAUUCAACCCCUAGCCUGGGAACCUCCAUAUGCUGCGGGUGUGGCCCUAAAAUAGCAGAAAAAAAGAAAAAAUAAGAAAAAAGAACUCAUGUUCUUUCCUUUGAUGAAUGGGUUAGGCUAGCAUUUGGUUAAAACAUCCACUGUACCUUUCUUAUCUUCUGAUGCUCUCCCUGGUCCCGUUCCAACUUAAUAUUUAAUUUUUACUAAGAUCUCCCUGCCUCUUUCUCCUUCUCAUGCCGUAUAAUUCAACAAUUAUUUCAAUCUCUCCUGAAAAUACAGUUUAUAAAUAAAUGGGUUUCAGGUAGCUUCAGAAACAUUACCAAAUCACAGUACUACAAGCUUGAAAAGGCUAGAUCCGCCAUUGGAAGUAAGCAGGUGUUUUGCCUUUUCCUUCCUGAUCACUGAGCUUACAGGUUAAAGAAAGUCCUUUACAGACGAGAACAGUUUAAACCAGCAUCCCUCUCCCAGGAGACAGAAACGCUCUCUCGUUCUCCACACUGCCACCUGGUGGUUCUCCACACGAACCACGCCUCUUGCUCUGGCUUCCAUUCAUAACCCACGAGAGAGAAACAGAGCCUGGGUCUUGGCUUUGGCUCGCCCGGCCUUUGGAAAUCAUGAGCCUACACCGGCACACCCUGCAGAAGCCCAGCCCUGACCACGCCUUCUGGAAUUUGGGGGGGUCUGUCUUCCAAAAACUCCAGUGAGGGUGUUCUGGGCUGUGACACUAUUCCAUGGGGCAGAUUUCUGUGGAUAUGUGAUUCUUUGAAGAGCUUUUCACUUGCUAACAACAUAUCCUCUAGGGACCUGCAGGGGACAGGUCUCCCAGAGGAACAGCUAAGCUGUCAACGUAUCCCUUGCCACCAAGGAGAGCCACUGCUUCACUGUGUUUCAAAUGCAAAGUUUGUGGGUAACACCGUGAUGGGAGUCAGGGAGCCCCAAGAGUGAAGCAACAAGAUUUCUUCAACACAUUUUCAUCCAUAUGUGGAGCUUACAACUCUAGGUGUCAAAGGUAACUUAGCUGUUUUCUAGAACCGCCCAGUGGACUGGGCUGGAGGUCUGACUGUAAGAUUGACAAAAAGCCUCUUUGCUGUGACGCUUCAGAACGUCACUCACACCUCACUUUCUGCCAUCGAUUUUUUUUAAUAGUCGAGGAUUACAAAUCAUAAUAUUAGGGCAAAUGACCCAGAGGUGCUCUGUAUGUUCUCAUCACUGGGCCCAUUUUCCUGGGACAAAGGCUGGGAUGUUACGUUCGUGUGUCUUAGCGUGCUGACAAAAGUUUACGUCCCUCUUCAUUCUUCCCUCUCCUUCCUGUCCUUCUCUACACUGUCACCUUGUCAUGGACACGCUAUGUCAGCCACGUAAGAAUCUAAUUCAUUAGCCAAGAGCGAUGCAGAAGAGCUGUGCAAACUUAUAGCAAUUAAGAUGACUGGGUCACACUGUCACUAACUGCUACUGUCAGGGAAAAACUCGGGGAAGAAAUAAGUCUUGAGAAUGACCUCAGGCAUGUGGCUGCAACCGUGGUGUGGGUUCGAUCACUGGCCAGGGAACUUCUACAUGGCUGCGAGUGCGGCCAAGAACCAACCAACCAACCAACCAACCAAUAAAACUAGCCAAAAAGGAAAACCAACCAACCAGCCAACCAAACUUAACAAGAAAAAAUUUUACUAGCACCAUGGUGAUGGCUUAUUUGAACUUAAGUUCUCUUCCAGUGAUAAAAUGAAACUAAAAAUUUCUUACAGUUUAAACAUGUGUGAGCAUCUCCAACCCCUAACCAGCUACAGUCAGAUGAUACUGGCUUCAUCUCAAUUCAUGUGGACAGACUCCAUCCAUGAUGCCUCAUCGCAGAAAGCCCAUCACCUACUUACUGAGUAAACACACACGACUCACUGGCAGAGGCGCUGAGAGCGGACGACGACGUUUCCAUUGCUAGUGUUAUUCGGUACCGUGCAGAGGGCAGCGCAUCCACCAGGAGUGACACUGUGUUCCUGUGAAUGUUACCCGCGACUCAGAGCAAAAAUUAGCCGUGUCAUGACUGGAAUGACGAGGGAUCCGUCUGCUUUCUUCCCUGAGGUUCAGGGGAGGGACAGAGAGCAGGCGGUCCUCAGUUAAUGCGAAAGGAACUGGUUUUUCCAAGCCUCGCCCAUGGCAUUGGUUCUAUGUGCAGGAACCAAGCCACUUGGGCAUUUUGGCAUCGAGAACGGAAUGCCCUUUUGCUUUACAAACAACCUUCUCCCCAGAGACUGAAGACAGGAGAAACGUGUAUACCCAGGGGUUCAAAAGGCACGCACAGGUCUGGGCUACAGACAGGAGGUGGGCCGGGAGCUGACUUGUGAAUAUACUAGAGUUCUACUAUCGCCACAAAUAGGCAAGUGGAGACAUUCUGGAACUGCCAUGAGACCUUCGUUUCCACCAGGCUUUUAUCUAACGGUAAGGAGUGUUUCUUGGCGUGUUUUCAGUUUUUGGAACAGCUCCAAUACUAAAGUCCAAGACAAAACACGCCUCCAAACAACUUUCUACGCUGAAGGUUGUGCUUCCACUCCUACAAGUGAGUUCUGUUGACCCGUAACCAUUUCAUUUUCUGCUGAGAGCAACCAGGACAUACAAGGGACUGGGUGAUCUUUACUACAGAGAGUGGUAUCGUGGGCGACUCUUCUUUUAAAUAACAAAGUCUUUAGGAUUUAAAAGUCAGAGCUCGCAGAUGGAGGAGAAGCCACGUGUUAGGUCUGCUUCUAAAGCAGUUGUCACAUGGUGGGAGGGAGAAGUUCCACUUGUAAUGACAGUGGUGACUGUCAUUAAAUGACACAGACUGAUGCUUCUGAACUUCGGCACGGGUGUGAUGGAACAACGACAGGUGACUGGGUGCAUCUCCGCCCAACUUGGUGGCUGGCAACUGGUCACUCUGUGGGCAUGAAGAUCAUGGAAAUGGGCAAAGGCUACAAAUUAAGUACCCGUGCCUCUGGCAACACACACACACACACACACACACACACACACACACACACACACGCCCUGCAUGGAAAGCCAGAUAUGAAACAUUUACACACACCAUCUGCAGGAGACUAAAACUUCUUGAACAAGGAGCUCCCAUCGUGGCACAGUGGAAACAACUCCAACUAGGAACCAUGAGGUUGCAGGUUCGAUCCCUGGCCUUGCUCAGUGGGUUAAGGAUUCAGCGUUGCUGUGAGCUGUGGUGUAGGUCGCAGACGUGGCUCAGAUCCCGUGUUGCUGUGGCUCUGGUGUAGGCCGGUGGCUACAGCUCUGAUUCGACCCCUAGCCUGGGAACCUCCAUAUGCCGCGGGUUCCCAAGAAACGACAAAAAGACAAAAAACAAACAAACAACAAAAAAACAAACAAACAACAAACCGAAAAAACCUUCUUGAACAGGUUAUUCCUCCUUACACUGAAUCUGUGACUCCACAGGUACAAGCCGGUGUAUUGUUUUCAAUGAGUUGGUUCAAUGAAGUCUAACAAUUCUAACCUCAAAUUGCACAGAUACCUUCCUGUGUCUAUACCGGCAGAAACAGUUCCUUCUCAGUCAUACAUCCUGGUUCUCAGGGUUCUAGGUCUACAGGAUCCAAUCCACCUGGCGUUGGUCUAAUGCCCUGGGAGUCUCAGAGUCUCUAAGACAGCUGGAAUCUUCCAGAAGUCAAUGGCCGUACUAUGAAAAACAUUGACAGUUGGGUUUAAAACAUUCCAAUGAUGCCAAAUGUUGGUUUGAAAAUGUUCUCCAGGAGAAGACUGUUCCAGAAACUGGGUACAGAUCAUAGAUGCCAAUGAGAAUCUGACUCAAUUCGAAUUGUGUUAACUGACAAAGCUAGAAACACUAACUCCUUUGCUAUCCAACAGCAGUUAGAACAUUUACAGAGUUUAAGCAGUUAAAUGCUGUCAUUAUGUUUGAUGGGUACCUAUCUUGCUCUCAUUUUUGUGGUUAUGUACCUCCGUUCUUCUGUCUU